RNAcentral lists this ribosomal RNA (371 nucleotides) under uncultured bacterium. RNAcentral's name for it is "bacterial SSU rRNA". It matches the Rfam family "Bacterial small subunit ribosomal RNA", at positions 527 to 896 of the family's 1533-position model. The record is from RNAcentral.
AGAGGGGGCAAGCGUUGUUCGGAAUUACUGGGCGUAAAGGGCGCGUAGGCGGCCUUCUAAGUCGAACGUGAAAUCCCUGGGCUCAACCCAGGAACUGCGUCCGAGACUGGAAGGCUCGAAUCCGGGAGAGGGAUGUGGAAUUCCAGGUGUAGCGGUGAAAUGCGUAGAUAUCUGGAGGAACAUCGGUGGCGAAGGCGGCAUCCUGGACCGGUAUUGACGCUGAGGCGCGAAAGCCAGGGGAGCAAACGGGAUUAGAUACCCCGGUAGUCCUGGCCCUAAACGGUGAAUGCUUGGUGUGGCGGGUAUCGAUCCCUGCCGUGCCGAAGCUAACGCAUUAAGCAUUCCGCCUGGGGAGUACGGUCGCAAGGCUG